Molecule: non-coding RNA, 525 nt
Organism: Schizosaccharomyces pombe (fission yeast)
Lineage: Eukaryota; Fungi; Ascomycota; Schizosaccharomycetes; Schizosaccharomycetales; Schizosaccharomycetaceae
Source: the annotation of a GenBank genome assembly
AUAUGCAUUCAUUAUUCCGAUAUGGCCAUUUCUUUGCAAUGAAAUUAGGUGGCACGCAUUGGAGUCCAAUUGGUGAAAGUAAUGAUUCAUUAAAGUCCAAAUGGGCUGAGUGCUAAAUUUGCUCAGAAUUGAAUAAUUAAAUUAAUUGUUGAUUGUCACACAAUCGCCAUCGCUAGACAAUACAAUUCCAUACUGAUCGCAAAGCUGGUCAGGAACCCGACCAUUCUAAUAUGGUUUAUCUCAAUCCAUAGAAGGAUGGGUAAAAAUAGGUCAAUAUUAGAGCGCAAUUUUAAUUGUGCGAAACAACAAAUGAAAGAAAAAGACUAAAGAAAUAGAAAAAAAUUGACUUAGUUAUUACAACUUCUGCGAUCUUGUAAACAUUGAUGUAACAUAACAUGCUGCCCUGAUUUUACUAUUACUAUUACUCUAAGUACGACCUAAUAAUUGCAUGUGGCCAGCUCCAUGCGGUACUGUCUAGAAAUCCUUAAAAUAAUAUUGUUAGAUAUAUUUAAAAUAUACAGCGAU